CUUGUCAAUCAAUCGAUUGGGCAUCAGCAAUUCCAUCAACUAAUCAAACUGUGACCUUUGUACACCACGAAACUGAAGCGCAUAUUGCUAUAUAUAUAUCAGCUCCAGUCAUAGGAAUAAUUCUUUUUUGUGUUGGAUUGUUUUUUUUCAAAAUUAAAAGACGUAGAAACAGAUUAAGACGUAGAAACAGAUUGAGACGUAGAAACAGUUUGAGAUCUGAAGGAGAGUCCGAGACAUUUGAGAGGGAUCCCUUUAUACCUGGAACAGGUAAGAAC
Molecule: long non-coding RNA, 275 nt
Organism: Saccostrea cuccullata (small rock oyster)
Lineage: Eukaryota; Metazoa; Mollusca; Bivalvia; Ostreida; Ostreidae
Exons: 3
Source: RefSeq, a predicted model, not a curated record